CUCAUAUUUGUUUAAAGACUUUGGUCCCUCUGAUUUGUAUUUUCAGUCCUGUUGUUUUCCAUUUCCUACAGGGUCCAGAGUUCAUCCAGUCCGUCACAGUCGGAGGAGAUCUACAAAUGAGUGCAGAGAAGCUUCCUUUUGCACGUCUCGCCUGAGAUCGAAACUUCAUGUAAUGCUGUCAUUCUGUGCGCACGUUAACCCAUGCAGAAGCAUUCUCCAAAACACUUGUUAAGUCACAUGUCAGUGUUUCAAACAUCCUCCAUUGAUUCUGUCAGGCGCUCUGUAUUCUUCACAUCCAUUGUGUCAGGAUGUGCCACCGCACCACUGUCUUCCAGGAAGUGAACGAGCAAAGUGUAUACUCUUUGGUGUUAGGAUGAAGAGAGUGAGGGAGAAGGGUAUUCCUGCACAACCGGAGGCUGCAGUUUCAGGACUGCAGUUCUUGGACCGCAGUUUUAGGACCCUAGUUUUUUUGUGACCGCGCCACCUACCGUACUGGAUCAACACUAAUUAAAGAUGGACGACGUGGACAGCAAUCAGACGGGUCCAGAGUUCAUCCAGUCCGUCACAGUCGGAGGAGAUCUACAAAUGAGUGCAGAGAAGCUUCCUUUUGCACGUCUCGCCUGAGAUCGAAACUUCAUGUAAUGCUGUCAUUCUGUGCGCACGUUAACCCAUGCAGAAGCAUUCUCCAAAACACUUGUUACGUCACAUGUCAGUGUUUCAAACAUCCUCCAUUGAUUCUGUCAGGCGCUCUGUAUUCUUCACAUCCAUUGUGUCAGGAUGUGCCACCGCACCACUGUCUUCCAGGAAGUGAACGAGCAAAGUGUACUCUUUGGUGUUAGGAUGAAGAGAGUGAGGGAGAAGGGUAUUCCUGCACAACCGGAGGCUGCAGUUUCAGGACUGAAGUUCUUGGACCGCAGUUUUAGGACCCUCGUUUUUUUGUGACCGCGCCACCUACCGUACUGGAUCAACACUAAUUAAAGAUGGACGACGUGGACAGCAAUCAGACGGUGAGUACCGAUAUUUAAUUAAGUUUUAUUUUAUAACGUUUAAGCGGUGCGAAGUUUACAUACUGAGAACUGCUAACUGUGAAUUAAUAAUUAAUUCCCACCAAAUUAAGAAUUUGUGAGCUAGUUUUUACUACGACGUUA
Molecule: long non-coding RNA, 1148 nt
Organism: Carassius auratus (goldfish)
Lineage: Eukaryota; Metazoa; Chordata; Actinopteri; Cypriniformes; Cyprinidae
Exons: 4
Source: RefSeq, a predicted model, not a curated record